This 311-nucleotide unclassified non-coding RNA is filed under the name uncultured fungus. RNAcentral's name for it is "partial contains small subunit ribosomal RNA, internal transcribed spacer 1, and 5.8S ribosomal RNA". The stretch from base 1 to 73 matches the Rfam family "Eukaryotic small subunit ribosomal RNA", at positions 1759 to 1831 of the family's 1831-position model. The record is from RNAcentral. Lineage: Eukaryota; Fungi.
GCAAACUUGGUCAUUUAGAGGAAGUAAAAGUCGUAACAAGGUCUCCGUUGGUGAACCAGCGGAGGGAUCAUUACAGAGUUGAUAAAAAAACUCCCAAACCCAUGUGAACUUACCUCUUGUUGCCUCGGUAGGCAAGCUGGUAAACCCCUCUACACCACUCCUGGUGUAACGUGGUGCAGCCGGCCUGCCGGUGGCCUGAGAAAUUCAAUUCUGUUUUUUUACGAUGUGAUAUUCUGACGAGUGGAUAAAAAUCUAAGUUAAAAACUUUCAACAACGGAUCUCUUGGUUCUGGCAUCGAUGAAGAACGCAGC